This 119-nucleotide ribosomal RNA is filed under the name Pteropus alecto (black flying fox). The record is from RNAcentral. Lineage: Eukaryota; Metazoa; Chordata; Mammalia; Chiroptera; Pteropodidae.
UCCAAUGGCAAUACUACCCUGAGCAAGCCCAAUCUCAUCUGAUCUCAGAAGCUAAGUAGAGUUGGGCCUGGUUCGUACUUGGAUGAGAGACCACCUUGGAAGACGAGGUGCUGUAGGCG